This 91-nucleotide transfer RNA is filed under the name Ailuropoda melanoleuca (giant panda). It matches the Rfam family "tRNA". From Rfam's summary of the family: Transfer RNA (tRNA) molecules are approximately 80 nucleotides in length. Their secondary structure includes four short double-helical elements and three loops (D, anti-codon, and T loops). Further hydrogen bonds mediate the characteristic L-shaped molecular structure. tRNAs have two regions of fundamental functional importance: the anti-codon, which is responsible for specific mRNA codon recognition, and the 3' end, to which the tRNAs corresponding amino acid is attached (by aminoacyl-tRNA synthetases). tRNAs cope with the degeneracy of the genetic code in two manners: having more than one tRNA (with a specific anti-codon) for a particular amino acid; and 'wobble' base-pairing, i.e. permitting non-standard base-pairing at the 3rd anti-codon position. The record is from Rfam by way of RNAcentral. Lineage: Eukaryota; Metazoa; Chordata; Mammalia; Carnivora; Ursidae.
GCCCGGGUGGCUUAGUCGGUUGAGCAUUGGACUCUUGAUUUCUGCUGGGGUUAUGAGCUCAGGGUCGUGGGAUCGAGCCCCACCUCAGGCU